UACGUAGGGUGCAAGCGUUAAUCGGAAUUACUGGGCGUAAAGCGUGCGCAGGCGGUUCGUUGUGUCGGCGGUGAAAGCCCCGGGCUUAACCUGGGAAUGGCCGUUGAAACUGGCGAACUGGAGUGUGGCAGAGGGGGGUGGAAUUCCGCGUGUAGCAGUGAAAUGCGUAGAGAUGCGGAGGAACACCGAUGGCGAAGGCAGCCCCCUGGGCUAACACUGACGCUCAGGCACGAAAGCGUGGGGAGCAAACAGG
This 253-nucleotide ribosomal RNA is filed under the name uncultured bacterium. Its description in RNAcentral is "partial 16S ribosomal RNA". It matches the Rfam family "Bacterial small subunit ribosomal RNA", at positions 524 to 776 of the family's 1533-position model. The record is from RNAcentral.